UACGUAGGGACCAAGCGUUGUUCGGAAUUACUGGGCGUAAAGGGAGCGUAGGCGGACAGCUAAGUCAGAGGUGAAAGCCCAGGGCUCAACCCUGGAAUUGCCUUUGAUACUGGCUAUCUUGAGUAUGGGAGAGGUGUGUGGAACUCCGAGUGUAGAGGUGAAAUUCGUAGAUAUUCGGAAGAACACCAGUGGCGAAGGCGACACACUGGCCCAUUACUGACGCUGAGGCUCGAAAGCGUGGGGAGCAAACAGG
Molecule: ribosomal RNA, 253 nt
Filed under: uncultured bacterium
Lineage: Bacteria
Description: partial 16S ribosomal RNA
Rfam family: Bacterial small subunit ribosomal RNA
Source: RNAcentral